CAUAAUUUACAAUCUGGAGGAACGCGCACAGCUGGAGGGAGACCUGUGUGGGAAUUUAUAUAUACACGCCAAACUAAAUCCUUUGGCCUGUAAGUAGGCAAUCUGGCCAUCUGUGAAAGGGAUUGCAAGGGGUUAAUGUCUUUUCCUGCCUGAACACUUGAUUGCACGAGCAUGCUUCUUAUCACAUACACACCAGCUGUAGACUGUGUAAACUACUAUAGCCACUCAGGUGUUCAAACAUUACCAAAUAUAGAGUAGUCACAUCGUGUAUGUCAUCACAAUGGAAUCUCUUUGUUUACUAUGCUAUAUAAGUUGUAGUAUUACCCAUAAUAAACUGAAUUUGUUUUGCAACACACAAGCCUACAGUGUCGUUCAUUGCAAGUUCCCUGAUCAGCACACCUGGAUAGAUGAUAUCAGAUGGUUUACCGUUGCAUCAAUUAUAAGACGAGCCGGCUCGCAGCUGCAAGGACAGUGCAGGGAUAGCACAGUGGGAUUCAGUGGCCCUUACAGUUCUCUGGUGUCAGAAGUGGAACAGCUGGAAAUCCAGAGGAGCCGACCCAUCCAUUUCGCCCAGGCGAUCCUGUUGUGGUUCAACAGCUCCAUCGCUAUCGAAAAGUUGGAUUCCCAUUUGGCCCAUGAGUCACAGUGAUUGCCAUCACACGGACAGCAGUCCUCACCGAUGCCAGCGACCAUUGAAUCCACGCUUCACGAGUGAAACUCGCGCCAACACUUCCAACGCCGGAACUGAGUAAAGCUGACAACACGGAACAUGACACCCCCACCAAAUCCAUCACAGAAGGACCCGAAGAUGACGUCUCAGGACCUCACACUCCUACCACUGAUGAUGAUGAGGAAGUCCACAAAAUAUGCACUAUGGUGCAUAAUUGGCACUUUCCUUUCUCUAUUUUUCCCGAAUUAUGAUAAUCCUUAACUGCAUAUGUUACCCAAACCCUCACAGCCCUUUGGGAUCAGUUUGUUACCAGUUUUUCAAGAGCAAUACAACACUACAUUUAUUAUAAUCAACAACGUUUUGUUAAUUACACCAGAGACGCCCUACAAGGUAUUGCAGAUCAACUUACACCCACCUCUCAAAUGACAUUCCAAAAUAGGGUAGCCUUAGAUAUGAUUUUAGCAGAGAAAGGGGGUAUUUGUAAAAUGCUUGAUGGUACCGGCACCUGCUGCACUUAUAAUCCUGAUAUCACCGGACCUAACGGUAAAGUCACUGUAGCUAUUAAAAAACGGAAUGAUUCAUCCAUUGAACUUAAGAAAAACUCUGGUAUUACCCACCCAUGGGACGAGUAUUUUGGAUGGUUGACCGGUUGGCAAAAAAUCUUAGCUCAGAUCGGUGUCACCUUAUUGAUUGUCUUAAUUUUUGUUUCAUUUCUUUUCUGCUGUAUAAUUCCCUAUAUCAGGAAAUUAACUUCAUCUUUAAUUACUUCUUCUGAGGGCUUGCAACUUAAGCUUAUUCAUGCUGCUCGCGUAUAGUCACUUAUGUGAC
Long non-coding RNA from Xenopus laevis (African clawed frog), 1498 nucleotides. RefSeq lists it as uncharacterized. The record is from RefSeq and is a predicted model, not a curated record. The transcript is spliced from 2 exons. NCBI's taxonomy places the organism in Eukaryota, Metazoa, Chordata, Amphibia, Anura, Pipidae.